This 520-nucleotide ribosomal RNA is filed under the name uncultured bacterium. Its description in RNAcentral is "bacterial SSU rRNA". It matches the Rfam family "Bacterial small subunit ribosomal RNA", at positions 964 to 1482 of the family's 1533-position model. The record is from RNAcentral.
AAGAACCUUACCAAGUCUUGACAUCCCAUUGGCGAGUGAGUAACGUCACUUUCCCUUCGGGGCAAUGGAGACAGGUGGUGCAUGGUUGUCGUCAGCUCGUGUCGUGAGAUGUUGGGUUAAGUCCCGCAACGAGCGCAACCCCUAUCCUUAGUAGCCAGCAGGUAAAGCUGGGAACUCUGAGGGGACUGCCCGGGAUAACCGGGAGGAAGGCGGGGAUGACGUCAAAUCAUCAUGCCCCUUAUGGCCGGGGCUACACACGUGCUACAAUGGCGGAAACAGAGGGAAGCAGCCCCGUGAGGGUGAGCGAACCCCAAAAAUACCGCCUCAGUUCGGAUUGUAGUCUGCAACCCGACUACAUGAAGCCGGAAUCGCUAGUAAUCGCGAAUCAGAAUGUCGCGGUGAAUACGUUCCCGGGUCUUGUACACACCGCCCGUCACACCAUGGGAGCCGGAAAUGCCCGAAGUCAGUGGCCCAACCCAAAAGGAGGGAGCUGCCGAAGGUGGAGCUGGUAACUGGGGUG